UUCGUCUGACAUUCGGCAAG
Molecule: microRNA, 20 nt
Filed under: Ciona intestinalis (vase tunicate)
Lineage: Eukaryota; Metazoa; Chordata; Ascidiacea; Phlebobranchia; Cionidae
Description: cin-miR-4144-5p
Source: miRBase by way of RNAcentral